GACGAACGCUGGCGGCGUGCCUAAUACAUGCAAGUCGAGCGGACUGAUUAAGAGCUUGCUCUUAUGACGUUAGCGGCGGACGGGUGAGUAACACGUGGGCAACCUGCCCUGUAGAUCGGGAUAACACCGAGAAAUCGGUGCUAAUACCGGGUAAUAUCUGAGAUCACAUGAUCUUAGGUUAAAAGAUGGCUCCGGCUAUCACUACAGGAUGGGCCCGCGGCGCAUUAGCUAGUUGGUAAGGUAAUGGCUUACCAAGGCGACGAUGCGUAGCCGACCUGAGAGGGUGAUCGGCCACACUGGGACUGAGACACGGCCCAGACUCCUACGGGAGGCAGCAGUAGGGAAUCUUCCGCAAUGGACGAAAGUCUGACGGAGCAACGCCGCGUAAGUGAUGAAGGGUUUCGGCUCGUAAAGCUCUGUUGUUAGGGAAGAAACAGUACCGAACGAACUAGGUCGGUACCUUGACGGUACCUAACCAGAAAGCCACGGCUAACUACGUG
This 500-nucleotide ribosomal RNA is filed under the name uncultured bacterium. RNAcentral describes it as "partial 16S ribosomal RNA". It matches the Rfam family "Bacterial small subunit ribosomal RNA", at positions 28 to 507 of the family's 1533-position model. The record is from RNAcentral.